Long non-coding RNA from Homo sapiens (human), 594 nucleotides. Ensembl annotates it as long intergenic non-protein coding RNA 2167. The record is from Ensembl. Lineage: Eukaryota; Metazoa; Chordata; Mammalia; Primates; Hominidae.
CUGGGCGAGCUGUGCAGUCUGAUUUCCAGUGGGUCCCUGCACAGAUGGGACACAGCUGAGGGAUCGCAGGCUGUGGGCAUUCCUUGGCCCAGUGGCUAGAUUUCUGGCACUUGAAGCAAGAUCCUGAGAUUGAAGGCCAUCUGGACAUUUAUGUGUAGGUCACAGGGGUUACAAUGGCUGAGCUUUGGCUCAGAGACCUGACAAAGCCCAGAAGCUAAACAGGGUUUGGCCUGCCUGGGGCUUGGAUGGGGCACCGCCUGGGGAUACUGGGCCCAGGACCUCCCAGUGGGUUUCCGUCCCAGCAGCCCGGGCGCCACAGCAGUCUGACAGCGCCCCAUCCCAGAAGCUCACCUGCACCCCUGCUGUGGAAGAAAACCUACCUAUAGGGGUACUCCCUGGCAGCCCAUGAAGCCAUAGUAGCCUGAAAGUGCUCAAGCCCAGAAAACAAUAGUUACUUCUGUGAGAUGAAUGGAAACUAUGUUCCAAUGGGAUCCAAAAUGUCCCUUCAAAAAUUCUACAAAAAGACUGCUUCCAAUCUGCUUAAUCAGAACAAAGGUUUAACUCCAUGAGAUGCAUCCAAACAUUGCAAAGCAU